UACGGAGGAUGCGAGCGUUAUCCGGAUUUAUUGGGUUUAAAGGGUGCGUAGGCGGGCUAUUAAGUCAGUGGUGAAAUCCUGCAGCUUAACUGCAGAACUGCCGUUGAUACUGAUAGUCUUGAGUUUGGUUAAGGUAGGCGGAAUGUGUAAUGUAGCGGUGAAAUGCUUAGAUAUUACACAGAACACCAAUUGCGUAGGCAGCUUACUGAGCCGACACUGACGCUGAGGCACGAAAGCGUGGGGAUCGAACAGGAUUA
Molecule: ribosomal RNA, 257 nt
Filed under: uncultured prokaryote
Description: partial 16S ribosomal RNA
Rfam family: Bacterial small subunit ribosomal RNA
Source: RNAcentral